CGUACCGGUCAGUUUGUGAAUCUGGGCCUUUCAAGUUCAGCUCCAGUAUGGGUAUAGAGUUGGGUCCUCAUCUACUGGAAUGACUGAAAUUGUUUUAUGAAUGUGUGUCCAGGUUGAGAAAGAACCCAUCCUGCUCCAAACCCCAUUCCUUGAAGAUCUCUCCACAUUAAAUUGAGUAAUCAUCUGAAAAGAUCCUCUCACAUAAAACCAACCGAUUCAGACACCAUGAAAUAAGCAAAAUUCUAUUGUAUGCUGCUUUGGGAGAGGUGGUUGGGAUAAGAUUGGUUAGAUGGCAGGUUGAGCUGAAGACACCAAGGAACAGAGAGCAAAUGCUUCUGGGAUCAGGCCACCUGGAUGUGAUUGUACCCUUUUCCCUCUCUUUGGGUGGGACUGAGGGCUCUCUUUGUUCAGCAGGCAGCGGUGCAGAAACGAGACCCCAAUGCUCUGACUUUGGAGUCCUGGAGUGAUUCACUGCAAGUGGUUGCCUCUCAACUUUCCUUGCUGGCAGCCCCACUUUGAGGACAGGAUUGCCAUGUCCAUGGGCCUGAAUCCUGAAGAAGCUGGUAUUGAGUUCCAAGGUGCUCCAGAUCAUUAUUGAUGCAUCAGAAGAUAAAAGUCUCCCCUCCUCACCGAAUCUGGUCCAAGACCCAUUUCCUUUGCUGUUGAACAUACAGAAGACAAUAAUUCAGCUUCCAAAGCCACAGACAGAAGCAUAUUAAGGGCAGGGGUAUGUGCUUUUUUUCUUUCUUCUUUUUUUUUUCUAAACAGAUCACAAGGCAGAUUUUUAAAUUGAAGAUCCAUGUCAAUGUCUUAUUUCCUUUUUUAAACCACAAAGCAACACUCUCUGCAGGAUUAUUUGAGCCUCCAAUGCUUCGUUUUCUGGGUUAAGGCCCCCCCCACAUCACCAACUUGGCCAUUAUCGCUAUUACAGAUGGGGCUGAUGUGGCUUUGGUAUUUUCAUGCAGAUUUUCUUAUUUUUAUCAGUGAUCUGCCCAGAGGUGUAAAAUUUUAAUAAAUAGAGAAAUAAAGUUUCCGAAACUAAUUCACGAAGGGGAAAAUAAGCACAAUUUGAAUUCUGCACUGUGGGUUUCACCGCCAAGCUAUAUCGCCCCAUCAUAUUCAUUACUCUCAUGGGCUGCUUUAAAGGGAACAUUGUCAAACAUAUGGAAAGCGGACAGGACAAAAGUAUACUAGA
This is a long non-coding RNA of Crotalus tigris (Tiger rattlesnake), 1195 nucleotides long. RefSeq lists it as uncharacterized. Lineage: Eukaryota; Metazoa; Chordata; Lepidosauria; Squamata; Viperidae. The transcript has 3 exons. The record is from RefSeq and is a predicted model, not a curated record.